UACGUAGGGGGCUAGCGUUGUCCGGAAUCAUUGGGCGUAAAGAGCGUGUAGGCGGCCAGGUAGGUCCGUUGUGAAAACUCGAGGCUCAACUUCGAGCUGUCGGUGGAAACUUUCUGGCUAGAGUCCGGAAGAGGAGAAUGGAAUUCCUGGUGUAGCGGUGAAAUGCGCAGAUAUCAGGAAGAACACCCGUGGCGAAGGCGGUUCUCUGGGACGGUACUGACGCUGAGACGCGAAAGCGUGGGGAGCGAACAGG
This 253-nucleotide ribosomal RNA is filed under the name uncultured bacterium. RNAcentral describes it as "partial 16S ribosomal RNA". It matches the Rfam family "Bacterial small subunit ribosomal RNA", at positions 524 to 776 of the family's 1533-position model. The record is from RNAcentral.